Nerophis ophidion (straightnose pipefish) is the source of this 3052-nucleotide long non-coding RNA. RefSeq lists it as uncharacterized. The record is from RefSeq and is a predicted model, not a curated record. NCBI's taxonomy places the organism in Eukaryota, Metazoa, Chordata, Actinopteri, Syngnathiformes, Syngnathidae. The transcript is spliced from 2 exons.
CCUACUAUCAAAAGCACUUUAAAAGUCUUAUAUAAGUGUUAUAAUGAAGACAACACAUGAUGUGUCUAUAUUAGCUUACUAUCAAAAUGACUUUAUUAGCCUACUAUCAAAAUGACUUUAAAAAAACUUAUAUAAGUGUUAUAAUGAAGGCAACACAUGAUGUAAGUGUCUGUAUUAGCCUACUAUCAAAAUGAAUUUAAAAGUCUUAUAUAAGUGUUAUAAUGAAGGCAACACAUGAUGUGUCUUUAUUAGCCUACUAUCAAAAUGACUUUAAAAGUCUUAUAUAAGUGUUACCUGCACAUUACCUACCUUCUCUGUAUCCUGGAGUCAAACUGGUGCCUCCUUCUUUCACCCAGUCAACAUAUCUUUACCUGCACAUUACCUACCUUCUCUGUAUCCUGGAGUCAAACUGGUGCCUCCUUCUUUCACCCAGUCAACAUAUCUUUACCUGCACAUUACCUACCUUCUCUGUAUCCUGGAGUCCAACUGGUGCCUCCUUCUUUCACCCAGUCAACAUAUCUUUACCCGCACAUUACCUACCUUCUCUGCAUCGUGUGGUCACGCUGGUGCUUCCUGCUUUUAAGCGGCCAUCUUGAGACGGCAGCAGCGUAGCGGUUCUUUGAAGGCUUGUAAAAUCAAAACCGGAGCAGUUAGAAAAACUCUUUGCGCAACUUUUAAUCAGAAGUCUUCAAUCUCUUUCCUGUGCGAGUUUGAAGCCGACACAACAAACGCGCUCAGAGGAGAUAAUGUUUGAAAAAAGGUGACGGAUUUUUACAAAACUUUUGUUUUGAAGGGGUAAUUGCCAACUUCCUGUUGAUUUUUGCUGGACGAUGUCAAUCAAUGAAAUGUAGGUCUAAGUGAGACCUACAUAGAGGUUUUUGUUUCAUGUCUCUCCGACAUUCUUACCGGAAGUUACAAGCAGUUUUGUCUGUUUUCUUCCCAAGAGCAGUUUUGUCAGUGUUUUAUUCCAAGGGGGGGCUAGAGCGCAAUUUUGAGUUUUGGGUUGUUUUUUUUUAUUAUUAGAUCGCAAUUUUCACCAGUCCUGAUGUUUGUGUGCAGUUUGGUGAGUUUUGAAGCAUAUUAAGGGGGUCAAAUCACAGCUCAUAGAGGCAUAAAGGAAAUUUUUUUAGGAAACUUUUGUUUUGAAGGGGUUUUUGCCAACUUCUUGUUAAUUUUUGCUGAAGGAUGUAAGUGUAUGAAAUGUAGGUCUACGUCAGAUCUACAUAGAGGUUUUUGUUUCAUUUCUCUACGACAUUCCUAACGGAAGUUACAAGCAGUUUUGUCUGUGUUUUUUCCUAGGGGGCGCUUGAGCGCAAUUUUGAGUUUUGUUUUUUUGAUUAGAUGGCAAUUUUCGCCAGUCCUGAUGUUUGUAAAAUUUCACUGAGUUUUGAAGCAUGUUAAGGGGGUCAAAUUACAGCUCAAUAAAAUAAUAAAACCUUAGAAAUACAGUAGGGUCCUUUGUCCCAAUGGGACAUUCGGUCCCUAACAUUGUGGCUUACCACCAUGCAUUAGAUUUGUAUUUCUUUUAAUGGUUUUAUCAUCUUUGAACUUGAAAUUUUUGUCUAGAUCGAGGAAAAGAGGUUCGACCAUUGUUGAACUCCCAGGACCUGUAAUGAAGUGUGUGUGGAUUCUUGGCUUGAAACCUGUGGCACAGGGUGCAAUUGAAGUCUAUUUCUGGUCAUGCCGUCCCCUGCUGGGCCGAGGGACCACGCGGCUGCAUAGCUGGAUCAAAAGAGACGUCGGUGAAGCUUUGCUGAAUUAAAAGUUGCUUUAUUACAAGUGAGCGUCAUUCAAACAGGUCUGCAGUACUCAUAGGAAUCUUAGUCGAAAAUGGAGAAUUCCUGCCUUGGAGAAGCCGAACCAUCAGUUUAUCUUUUCCUUCUUUGCCUGUCUGGGUGUACGCUAAGUCUAAACAGCGCCCCCUGACCAUAAAAGUCGAUGUUUGUGUGUAAAGUGUCUGGAAAACAACUGCUUUAAGUCAUAACUUAAAGGUUGGUGUUUGAACUAGACAGGUAGUCUCUUCUCCAGGAUAGGGCUAUCACUUUUGCAUUCCGAAGUCCCAAUUAGAGCCUCGUUCCUACGAGAAGUGAUCCAAUACACCAAACUAAGGGGCCUUAUCUUAUCAUGCCACUAUUUACGUAAACGUGGUGGUUUGCUUUUUCCAAGAUGAGUAUGAACAUUCCCCAUAUGUAGAACAUAAUGACUUCAUUAAUACGCUUCACAAUAAUCUUUUUCCAACUGUUUAAAUGCAUAUAAGGCACAACAAAAAACAUUUUCCAGUAUGGAAAAUAGUGUCUGAAGAGACUGGAAUAGUGAUAGUGAUCAUCUAUAUCAGGGGUCAGCAACCUUUUUGAAAGCAAGAGCUACUUCUUGGGUACUGAUUAAUGCCAAGGGCUACCAGUUUGAUACACACUUAAAUAAAUUGCCAGAAAUAGCCAAUUUGCUCAAUUUACCUUUAAUAAAUACAUCUAUAUAUAUAUAAAAAAAAUGGGUAUUUCUGUCUGUCAUUCCGUCGUAGAUUUCUUUUUCCUUUUACGGAAGGUUUUUGUAGAGAAUAAAUGAUGAAAAAAAACACUUAAUUGAACGGUUUAAAAGAGGAGAAAACACGGAAAAAAAAGAAAAUGACAUUUUGAAACAUAGUUUAUCUUCAAUUUUGACUCUUUAUAAUUCAAAAUUCAACCCAAAAAAUGAAGAGAAAAACUAGCUAAUUUGAAUCUUUUUGAAAAAAAAAAAAAAAAAAAUAGAAUUUAUUGAACAUCAUUAGUAAUUUUUUCCUGAUUAAGAUUAAUUUUAGAAUUUUGAUGACAUGUUUUAAAUAGGUUAAAAUCCAAUCUGCACUUUGUUAGAAUAUAUAACAAAUUGGACCAAGCUAUAUUUCUAACAAAGACAAAUCAUUAUUUCUUCUAGAUUUUCCAGAACAAAAAUUUGUAAAGAAAUUCAAAAGACUUUGAAAUAAGAUUUAAAUUUGAUUCUACAGAUUUUCUAGAUUUGCCAGAAUAAUUUUUUGGGGGAAUUUUAAUCGUAAUAAGUUUGAAGAAAUAGUUCACAAAUA